This 76-nucleotide transfer RNA is filed under the name Pseudomonadota bacterium. RNAcentral describes it as "tRNA-Lys". It matches the Rfam family "tRNA". From Rfam's summary of the family: Transfer RNA (tRNA) molecules are approximately 80 nucleotides in length. The record is from RNAcentral. RNAcentral also lists the same sequence under 2 other names. Lineage: Bacteria; Pseudomonadati; Pseudomonadota.
GGGCCGCUAGCUCAACUGGUAGAGCAGCUGACUCUUAAUCAGCGGGUUGUAGGUUCGAGUCCUACGCGGCUCACCA